Molecule: ribosomal RNA, 253 nt
Filed under: uncultured bacterium
Lineage: Bacteria
Description: partial 16S ribosomal RNA
Rfam family: Bacterial small subunit ribosomal RNA
Source: RNAcentral
UACGUAGGUGGCAAGCGUUGUCCGGAUUUACUGGGCGUAAAGAGCGCGCAGGCGGUUAUUCAAGUCGAAUGUGAAAGCCCCCGGCUUAACUGGGGAGGGUCAUUCGAUACUGUUUAACUUGAAGGCAGGAGAGGGUAGUGGAAUUCCCGGUGUAGUGGUGAAAUGCGUAGAUAUCGGGAGGAACACCAGUGGCGAAGGCGGUUCUCUGGGCCUGUACUGACGCUGAGGAGCGAAAGCGUGGGGAGCGAACAGG